ACAGGGUGAUAGAUGGGGUGAUCAAGGGCUGCUGGAGGGGGAGAGAGAGGAAACCUGAGCAGAACCAUGAAACUUAUCAAACAUAAUCGGAGAUUCAACAUACGAACUAAUACAAUAAAUUUUUUGAAAAAAUAAUGCAACACUACAGUCUGGCACCCCUGCUGGCAUUGGUUCCUCUCCAUUGGAGGGAAAAGAUAAAAAAAAAAAGUUUUGGUUGGGAGACCAUGCAGUUUUGCAGUUAUGUUGGUCCUUGGAAGAGACAGAAACAUAGCUCUCCUGAAUGGGACAGCAUCUAGAACUAUGCCUCUCCCACCUCCUGAAGGACUGUUUUGGCCACUGGACUCCUACUGGAAAACCGUUGGCGCCAUAUCUUACUAUUAUGCCUUGCCUGAGCAGUCACAAGACAAUGUUUAUCAGACUUUAAAAAAUGUAUGAAGGUUUAUUUAUAUGGUUAGUGUGGGAAAAUAGAGGAGAUGGACCACUGUCUAAAUUUCAGGAUGCUUUUCAGGUUCUAAAUCCUCUCUCAGAUGGUCCUGAUCCAAAGAAGACCAUAGGCUGUGACUUGAGGUCGGGAUACAUCUGUCAAAUUCCAGAUGCCUGCAAUGAGAUCCAUGUGAGUCAUUGGGAUGAGCCUAGAAAAACCCUUAGCUCUAAAGACAUCUUCCAAGAGAAGAAGACAAUACCGGGUGUGUCAAUGAAGUGAUGGACAAGAACAUACAUCUGCAAACCACAGACGCCACAGCACAACCCAGCCAUGAACGAAUUUACCCAGCUGGCAGAAAGCAAAAGUUCAAAUCAAGACCAAAAGCACCAAACAAAAUUAUUUUGUUUCAAAUGCAUAGUUCCAGACCUGAAGCUGUCCCCAAACUCUUCCCAGAUGUCCUAACCUUAGUUAAAUAUUUCAUUGUGGAGUCAUGCUGUGAGUGUUCUCUGGCUUGUUUAUUUGAGGCUCCAGGAGGAAAGAUGAAUUCCAGCAGCCUGGAAGGGUACAAUUGAAGAGGCUGAUGAGGCACUGAGCUGCUCCAGGACUUUCCAGUUUAGAUUUCACUGAAACAAAUGCAAGUUUUAGGGGAAAUUAAUAAGACUUAAGGAUACAUUCACAGUGAACAUAUUCCCAAAAGUAUUUAAAAUAUAUUACUCCUAUCCAUUUAAAUUAUAUUAUUCUUGUAAGGAGACAACCAAUGGGUGAGUUAUUAAAUACUUAUUUCUCUGGUACAUAUAUGGUCCAAAUACCCCACACAGUAACACAAAAAUGAGUUUAAAAUACAUUCCAUCUGUACCUUUAUCACUCAUCUGUACCUGAUCCAAAGAGUGGCAGAUCUUUCCAAAUGAGGACUAGUCAUUAAACCAGUGCAGCAUAUCCUUCAAAUAAAUAAGCACAUCUUAUUUCAGACAGUCCUCCUGCAAUUCCUUUGCGAUGAUCGUAUUUAAGUAAGAUUAAAAUCUUUCCAGCGCAAAUACAUUCUAAAAUUCUAUUCAGUUCACAAACUUGUAGUAAAACAAUGCUUUCAAUGUUUUACUCUUAGUAAGGAGGAGAAAGGAAAGGAUCUCAAAUUUAAUAUAUUGUUUUUAAUUGAUAUGUUUAUAUGUUUGUUUAUAUAUAUAUCUCAGAAAUAGUCUGUAUUAAGUAUUUCUAUAACAUCUAUCCCAGUUGCUGUUUUGGGUGGCCAUGUGGAACACUGGUUGCUGUUACUGGAAAUUAUUUCCUGAGCAUGCUUCCUUUCACCACAGUGCAAGAAUAUGCACAAAAGCAAAGUAAUGACUAAUGUGUAGAAUAUCUGCAAGUUUUCAGUGAGAUUCAGACUUAUGGGUCCUCAAAAAUAAUUGGACUGAAUUUCAGUUAACAAAUUUGGGGUUGUUUUUUUCCCACAACAAACUGUCCAAAUAAAGAGAGCUUUUUUCAUAUAGAAGCAGAUCUCAAGGUUUUUAGAAAGAGAUUGAAAGAUAAGCUAAAAAAGACUGAGUAUCUUGUUAUUUGGCUAAUCCACAGAACUUCAGAAGCUUCAUCAGAAAGCCUUUGCUAUUUGUUUA
Long non-coding RNA from Passer domesticus (house sparrow), 2031 nucleotides. RefSeq lists it as uncharacterized. The record is from RefSeq and is a predicted model, not a curated record. NCBI's taxonomy places the organism in Eukaryota, Metazoa, Chordata, Aves, Passeriformes, Passeridae. The transcript has 3 exons.